This 310-nucleotide ribosomal RNA is filed under the name uncultured bacterium. RNAcentral's name for it is "partial 16S ribosomal RNA". It matches the Rfam family "Bacterial small subunit ribosomal RNA", at positions 503 to 809 of the family's 1533-position model. The record is from RNAcentral.
AAGAGACAGCAGCAGCCGCGGUAAUACAGAGGGUGCGAGCGUUAAUCGGAUUUACUGGGCGUAAAGCGUGCGUAGGCGGCUUCUUAAGUCGGAUGUGAAAUCCCUGAGCUUAACUUAGGAAUUGCAUUCGAUACUGGGAAGCUAGAGUAUGGGAGAGGAUGGUAGAAUUCCAGGUGUAGCGGUGAAAUGCGUAGAGAUCUGGAGGAAUACCGAUGGCGAAGGCAGCCAUCUGGCCUAAUACUGACGCUGAGGUACGAAAGCAUGGGGAGCAAACAGGAUUAGAUACCCCUGUAGUCCCUGUCUCUUAUAA